ACGAACGCUGGCGGCGUGCUUAACACCUGCAAGUCGAACGGAAAGGCCCCUUUGGGGGUACUCGAGUGGCGAACGGGUGAGUAACACGUGAGUAACCUGCCCUUGACUUCGGGAUAACUUCAGGAAACUGGGGCUAAUAACGGAUAGGAAUCCUUGCUGCAUGGUGGGGGUUGGAAAGCUUCGGCGGUUUUGGAUGGACUCGCGGCUUAUCAGCUUGUUGGUGGGGUAGUGGCUUACCAAGGCUUUGACGGGUAGCCGGCCUGAGAGGGCGACCGGCCACAUUGGGACUGAGAUACGGCCCAGACUCCUACGGGAGGCAGCAGUGGGGAAUAUUGCACAAUGGGCGGAAGCCUGAUGCAGCAACGCCGCGUGCGGGAUGACGGCCUUCGGGUUGUAAACCGCUUUCAGCAGGGGCGAAGCUUGUGGUGACGGUACCUGCAGAAGAAGCACCGGCUAACUACGUG
RNAcentral lists this ribosomal RNA (464 nucleotides) under uncultured bacterium. RNAcentral's name for it is "partial 16S ribosomal RNA". It matches the Rfam family "Bacterial small subunit ribosomal RNA", at positions 29 to 507 of the family's 1533-position model. The record is from RNAcentral.